RNAcentral lists this ribosomal RNA (673 nucleotides) under uncultured Acidobacteriaceae bacterium. RNAcentral describes it as "bacterial SSU rRNA". It matches the Rfam family "Bacterial small subunit ribosomal RNA", at positions 58 to 763 of the family's 1533-position model. The record is from RNAcentral. Lineage: Bacteria; Pseudomonadati; Acidobacteriota; Terriglobia; Terriglobales; Acidobacteriaceae.
CAAGUCGAACGAGAAAGGGUAGCAAUACCUGAGUACAGUGGCGCACGGGUGAGUAACACGUGACUAACCUACCCUGGAGUGGGGGAUAACUGGGAGAAAUCCUAGCUAAUACCGCAUAAUACCUACGGGUCAAAGGAGCAAUUCGCUUCAGGAGGGGGUCGCGGCCGAUUAGUUAGUUGGCGGGGUAAUGGCCCACCAAGACGAUGAUCGGUAUCCGGCCUGAGAGGGCGCACGGACACACUGGAACUGAAACACGGUCCAGACUCCUACGGGAGGCAGCAGUGGGGAAUUUUGCGCAAUGGGGGAAACCCUGACGCAGCAACGCCGCGUGGAGGAUGAAGUCCUUCGGGACGUAAACUCCUUUCGAUCGGGACGAUUAUGACGGUACCGGAAGAAGAAGCCCCGGCUAACUUCGUGCCAGCAGCCGCGGUAAUACGAGGGGGCGAGCGUUGUUCGGAAUUAUUGGGCGUAAAGGGUGCGUAGGCGGUUUGGUAAGUCUUAUGUGAAAUCUACAGGCUCAACUUGUAGUCUGCAUGAGAAACUGCCGGGCUUGAGUAUGGGAGAGGUGAGUGGAAUUCCUGGUGUAGCGGUGAAAUGCGUAGAUAUCAGGAGGAACACCUGUGGCGAAAGCGGCUCACUGGACCAUAACUGAUGCUGAUGCACCGAAAGGCUA